Molecule: long non-coding RNA, 805 nt
Organism: Drosophila hydei
Lineage: Eukaryota; Metazoa; Arthropoda; Insecta; Diptera; Drosophilidae
Exons: 3
Source: RefSeq, a predicted model, not a curated record
GUUAAAGAUUGGCUACGAAUUGCAUACGGCAAUGCAACGAUGAUAGUCGGAUAGCAUCCUCUAAAAAGGAACUGUGGCUGAUCAAUGCGACGACUAUACUAAGUACUGAGGUGAAUUGCAUUUUAUAAAUACACCAGGUCUUCAGUUUCGAGACUGACAAGUCUCAGCCACUUGGAAUGCAACAAAUUAUUAUGAAGUACUGAAACGACUAGCGUAGCUAAGUAUCUUUGUAUGCCACAUUAAGUCACGAACUCUCCGAGUGAACACCAUUACACACCAAACUGAAAGCAACUGUUACAAAAAUGUAUUUUUUAUUGUUCUUGAUGUUUGGUGCUUUUCAGGCACACUUUGUACCAAUCACAAAUCCGAUAUGUUGCGUACCUCAUUCAUAUAACAUCAAUGAGACUAUGUGCUUCAAUAGUGCGCGCCGUUGGACCUAUGUAUCUCAGUACGAUACUUGCAUUAAAUUCACCUAUUUAGGAUGCGGAGGAAAUGCAAACAAUUUCCAGAGCGAAUACCAGUGUAGAAAAGCAUGUAAUGUAACAUCCGAAAAUAAACUUCCAUGGCAGCUCUCCUCAUAGUAACUCCAGCUGGGCCGUAAGUGGCCACAAACCCACUGUCCGAGGGCUUCUGUUGGUGUCGGCAGUUACAUAAAUUUAGUUAAUUUUCAUUUACAAAGGCCUGCAAAAUUUUCCAUAACUGGGCGAAGCAAAGAAGGCGCACUUAUUGAUCUGCCAGGCCCCUAAGGAGCACAGAUACAUAUAUAUCAGCUUGUCAAAUCAUUACUGGAGUUCACCACCGAAUC